This 705-nucleotide long non-coding RNA is filed under the name Hordeum vulgare. Its description in RNAcentral is "long non-coding RNA (HVUL_LNC018281)". The record is from RNAcentral. Lineage: Eukaryota; Viridiplantae; Streptophyta; Magnoliopsida; Poales; Poaceae.
CUUUGUUUCGAUUACUAAUAAAACUUUUGCAACAAGUAUAUGAGUUCUUCAUGACUAAUGUUGAGUCCAUGGUUUAGAUGCACUUUCACCUUCCACCAUCACUAUCUUCUUAGUGUCGUUCAACUUUCGCCGGUGUACAAAACCCACCAUUAGCCUCCCUCAAAACAGCCACCAUACCUACCUACUAUGGCUUCUUCAAAGUCAUUCCGAGAUAUAUUGCCAUGCAACUACCACCAUGACAUGUGCCACCAUGUCUACAUUGCCAUUGCAUGAUCGUAAGAUAGCUACCAUGAUGUUUCCAUUGAUGUCUAUGCCAUGCUAGAUCAUUGCCACGGUACACUACCGAAGGCAUUCCAUAUAGAGUCAUAGUUGCUCUAAGUUUUGAGUCGAAAGUGUGAUGAUCAUCAUUAAUGGAGCAUUGUCCCAUGUGAGGAAAUAAAAUAGGCCAAAGAAGCCCACCAAAAUAAAAAAAAAGAGGCCAAAGAGCCCACCAAAAUUAAAAAAAAAUGAGAGAAAAAGAGAGAAGGGACAAUGCUACCACUUUUUUUCCACACUUGUGCAUAUUAAGCACCAUGAUCUUCAUGAUUAAGAGUCUCUCGUUUUGUCACCACCAUAUAGCUAGUGGGAAAUUUUCAUUAUAUAACUUGGCUUGUAUAUUCCAAUGAUAGGCUUCCUCAAAAUUGCCUUAGGUCUUCGUGAGCAAGC